This 546-nucleotide ribosomal RNA is filed under the name uncultured bacterium. RNAcentral describes it as "bacterial SSU rRNA". It matches the Rfam family "Bacterial small subunit ribosomal RNA", at positions 777 to 1336 of the family's 1533-position model. The record is from RNAcentral.
AAUAGAUACCCGGGUAGUCCACGCCGUAAACGAUGGAUGCUAGCUGUACGAAGUAUCGACCCUUUGUGUAGCGAAGCUAACGCGUUAAGCAUCCCGCCUGUGGAGUACGGUCGCAAGACUAAAACAUAAAGGAAUUGACGGGGGACCCGCACAAGCGGUGGAGCGUGUUGUUUAAUUCGAUGAUAAGCGAAGAACCUUACCAAGGUUUGACAUCCUGCUAAGGUCUCCGAAAGGAGACUGUGCCUUCGGGCCGCAGUGACAGGUGAUGCAUGGCCGUCGUCAGCUCGUGUCGUGAGAUGUUUGGUUAAGUCCAUCAACGAGCGCAACCCUUAUAGUUAGUUGGAUUUCUCUAGCUAGACUGCCCCGGUAACGGGGAGGAAGGAGGGGAUGAUGUCAGGUCAGUAUUCCCUUACACCUUGGGCUACAAACACGCUACAAUGGCCGGUACAAAGGGCAGCCAACCCGCGAGGGGGAGCAAAUCCCAUCGAAAGCCGGUCUCAGUUCGGAUUGUAGGCUGAAACUCGCCUGCAUGAAGUCGGAAUCGCU